RNAcentral lists this ribosomal RNA (253 nucleotides) under uncultured bacterium. RNAcentral's name for it is "partial 16S ribosomal RNA". It matches the Rfam family "Bacterial small subunit ribosomal RNA", at positions 524 to 776 of the family's 1533-position model. The record is from RNAcentral.
UACAGAGGUGGCAAGCGUUGUUCGGAAUUACUGGGCGUAAAGGGCGCGUAGGCGGUCCGAUAAGUCCCGUGUGAAAUCCCUCGGCUCAACUGGGGAACUGCACGGGAAACUGGGAGGCUUGAGUUCGGGAGAGGGAAGCGGAAUUCCGGGUGUAGCGGUGAAAUGCGUAGAUAUCCGGAGGAACACCGGUGGCGAAGGCGGCUUCCUGGACCGACACUGACGCUGAGGCGCGAAAGCUAGGGGAGCAAACGGG